AUUAUUUUAGAAGAUUACAGGGGAUCCUUUGUUGGCACUGGGUAUAGUUGGCACUGAUUAGCAACUCUAUUACCUAUAACAGUUCUAGGUCCCAGUUCCAGGCUGAAGAGGAGCAUUGGUGGUCUGCCGCAAAGGAGUAGAGGUCCUAGGCACAGUUCCUAAGAAAAGAAAAGUGUUAACACUGUGUGCACAGAGGACCAAAAGCUCUUCCAGAGUAAAGACCAGAACCCAGACCAGGCAAUAUGUAUAUAACGAUUCAGGCAACUGAGCAAGCAUUGAACCGGAAUAUGCCAGAAAGUAUUUACACUAUGGAGAUUAAGAAACACAUCUUGCCUUGUACUGGAAACAAGUCAGUGAGCACAACAAAUUAAGAAGUCUAAAUGUGAAGAGGUCUCCCUACAAAGGACCUGCUGCAUUCUACCCUGAUUCAUGAGCUCCAGAAUAGAGUAGAGAAUACUCUUACUGGAGAACGAUAUGGGCAUUGUACCAAGUUGGAUCAAUUCAUCAGGCAUUUAUGGAGUGGAAAAAUAGGAGAAGUCAUUUAGAAGUAUAAGAUGAGGAAACUGAAGCAAACAAGGUUAAGUGACUUGCUUAUGGAUCACACAGCUCUUGUUGAAGGCCAAAUUUGAACUUGUCUAGACCCAGUGCUUUAUCCACUGAGGCACCUAGCUGUCUCGCCCCAUAUUUACAUUGUGUGCAUGUAUAUAGAUGGAUAGAGAGAAAUACACAUGUAUAUACAAAUAUACAAAUAUACCUAUUUCUAUUUUUAAAUAUGUACUGAUAUGUGUAAAUAUUAUUUCUCUCCCAAAAAAUAUGAGUUAUUUGAAGGAAGGGGUUAUUUCAUUUUUUACUUUAUAGCCCCAACACAGUUCCUGGUACAUAGUAGGCACUUAAUAAAUGCUUGUGUAAGUUUAAUUAUCUGUAAAAUGUGUUUGGACUGAAUGACCUCUAAGGUCUCUUCAACUCUAAUACCUACUGUGUGACCAGAUCUGUGCUGGCUACUAUGAGAAACAGAGAAAAAGCAAAGGACAUUGCUUCUGCUCUCAAGAAGCUUACACUCUUCCUGGGAAAACAGCAUUCAAGUAUUAAACAAUCCUCAAGCAGUAAAUGGGUCAUCAAAGAGUAGACAGUUAAGGACAAGGAACUGGGACCUGGGAGUAUCUAGGCUGCACAUUUUCAAAAACCAAACCAGUUUUUGGGAGAAAUCAUAGCGUGCUGGAAAGGGUAAUGGGUUUGGGCUUAAGUCCUAACUCUCUCACUAAUUCCUUGUAUGAUUUUGUGUGGUCAUUUGACCAUUUUGGACCUCAGCUUCCUCAUCUUUAAAAUAAAAAGGUUGGAUUGAAUCUGGCUCUAAAUCUAUGGCCUCGAGUGAGUCCAGAAAUACAUACAAGUUGAAGGUCAAAAUAGAGCAAUAAGUCAGAAAACUGGGCAGCAAGCAUUAGACAAGAAAUAAUUGACUAAUGGAGGUGUCAGCGAGCCAUGGGUUAGAAAACUAUUAGUUAGACAGGAAGACACAAAUAUUAAAGGUUAAGGCAAGGGGGUUGGUCAGAAAUCCAGGCAAACAAGCAAAUAUGGGCUGGAAAACAUAUUAGAGGCAUCAUCACUAGAAUGACCUAGAUAAUAAAGGUCACUCAUUGCCAAGGUCAAUAGGAAGCUUUAGUCAAAUUCUUGUUAAGGCAUAAAUCAGCACCUAAAUAGCCCAUUCUAGAACUUGCAGGUGGAAGCAGGUGAAUAUGGAUAUACAGAUGGAAUAAAGUAUAGGUUGGGCAGGUGGAGGAGAUAGCCAGAUAACAAUCAAUGCUAAAGUUUCCUCUCAAGCUCUUGAUAUUCCUAAUUAUGUAUAUAUGUUUUUUUAACUCUUACCUUCCAUCUUAGAAUCAAUAUUGUGUAUUGGUUCCAAGGCAGAAGAGUGGUAUGGUUUAGGAAAAUGGGGGUUAAGUGACUUGCCCAGGGUCACCCAGCUAAGAAGUGUCAGAGGCUAAUUUGAACCCAGGACUCCUACCCCUACGUCUGACUCUCAAUUCAUUGAGCCACCAAGCUGCCCUUAAUACUACUAAUUGUUAAUGCUCUCUUCCACCCCCAAAUCACUUUGAUUUGUUCAUCUCCCUGUGUAUGUGAUUUCUUUGUGUAAGCUCCUUGAGGGCAAACUGUUUCAUUUGAGUCACCCUUUAUAAAUAUAGAACUUUAUUAAAAAUCAAUAGAUUACUUCAUAUGUGAAUAAGUUCAUUCUCACAGGAGAAAUUCAAGCAGAGGCUUAAAGAUAAUUUGGGGAGUGUGUUGGAAGCAGAAUUUGUGUCUCAAGUAUGGCUUAAAUUCAGUGACUA
Monodelphis domestica (gray short-tailed opossum) is the source of this 2324-nucleotide long non-coding RNA. RefSeq lists it as uncharacterized. NCBI's taxonomy places the organism in Eukaryota, Metazoa, Chordata, Mammalia, Didelphimorphia, Didelphidae. The record is from RefSeq and is a predicted model, not a curated record.